RNAcentral lists this ribosomal RNA (438 nucleotides) under uncultured eukaryote. RNAcentral's name for it is "SSU rRNA". It matches the Rfam family "Eukaryotic small subunit ribosomal RNA", at positions 666 to 1118 of the family's 1831-position model. The record is from RNAcentral.
GCACUUGAUGCGAAGGAACCAGACAGUCAUCCGCUUGCAAAUACAUGUCCUUCCUUAACCGGUAGGCUGUAUAAGUAAGCACUUUACCUUGAGAAAAACAGAGUGUUCCAGACAGGUUUGUCCGGAAUGCGUUAGCAUGGAAUAAUAGAAUAUGACUGAAGUCGAUUUAUUGGUUUAAGGCUUUAGUAAUGAUUAAUAGGAACAAUCGGGGGCAUUGGUACUUGUCAGUCAGAGGUGAAAUUCUAGGAUUUGACAAAGACUAACUGAUGCGAAAGCGUUUGCCAAGAAUGUUUUCAUUAAUCAAGAACGAAAGUUAGGGGGAUCAAAGACGAUCAGAUACCGUCCUAGUCUUAACUAUAAACUAUACCGACUCGGAUUCAGAUGAAUAUUAAAGUUCAUUUGGGACCGUAGGAGAAAUCAAAGUCUUUGGGGUUCUGG